GACGAACGCUGGCGGCGUGCUUAACACAUGCAAGUCGAACGGAAAGGCCCUGCUUUUGUGGGGUGCUCGAGUGGCGAACGGGUGAGUAACACGUGAGUAACCUGCCCUUGACUUUGGGAUAACUUCAGGAAACUGGGGCUAAUACCGGAUAGGAGCUCCUGCUGCAUGGUGGGGGUUGGAAAGUUUCGGCGGUUGGGGAUGGACUCGCGGCUUAUCAGCUUGUUGGUGGGGUAGUGGCUUACCAAGGCUUUGACGGGUAGCCGGCCUGAGAGGGUGACCGGCCACAUUGGGACUGAGAUACGGCCCAGACUCCUACGGGAGGCAGCAGUGGGGAAUAUUGCACAAUGGGCGGAAGCCUGAUGCAGCAACGCCGCGUGCGGGAUGACGGCCUUCGGGUUGUAAACCGCUUCCGCCUGUGACGAAGCGUGAGUGGCGGUAAUGGGUAAAGAAGCACCGGCUAACUACGU
RNAcentral lists this ribosomal RNA (467 nucleotides) under uncultured bacterium. Its description in RNAcentral is "partial 16S ribosomal RNA". It matches the Rfam family "Bacterial small subunit ribosomal RNA", at positions 28 to 506 of the family's 1533-position model. The record is from RNAcentral.